This 85-nucleotide transfer RNA is filed under the name Actinomyces sp. oral taxon 448 str. F0400. Its description in RNAcentral is "tRNA-Leu". It matches the Rfam family "tRNA". Rfam says of the family: Transfer RNA (tRNA) molecules are approximately 80 nucleotides in length. Their secondary structure includes four short double-helical elements and three loops (D, anti-codon, and T loops). Further hydrogen bonds mediate the characteristic L-shaped molecular structure. tRNAs have two regions of fundamental functional importance: the anti-codon, which is responsible for specific mRNA codon recognition, and the 3' end, to which the tRNAs corresponding amino acid is attached (by aminoacyl-tRNA synthetases). tRNAs cope with the degeneracy of the genetic code in two manners: having more than one tRNA (with a specific anti-codon) for a particular amino acid; and 'wobble' base-pairing, i.e. permitting non-standard base-pairing at the 3rd anti-codon position. The record is from RNAcentral. Lineage: Bacteria; Bacillati; Actinomycetota; Actinomycetes; Actinomycetales; Actinomycetaceae.
GCGCGAGUGGCGGAAUUGGUAGACGCCCCAGAUUUAGGUUCUGGUGCCUUCGGGCGUGAGGGUUCGAAUCCCUUCUUGCGCACCC